This is a non-coding RNA of Pantherophis guttatus, 321 nucleotides long. The record is from RefSeq and is a predicted model, not a curated record. NCBI's taxonomy places the organism in Eukaryota, Metazoa, Chordata, Lepidosauria, Squamata, Colubridae.
GUGGUGGGUUCUAAUCAGUUUUACCACCAUUUCGCAUCGCGCACGUGCUUUGCGCACGAUCGCUACUCGCAUGUGUGCCGAACUUGCACUUUGCGCAAGCGCAUUAAGUAAAAACACAGCUGAGGCAGGCAAUACACUCUGCCAUGCCUUACAGCUGACCAAAAAACAAAAGAAAUAAAGGAAACCAAGAAGGAGGUAGGACAAACUCACCUGGCCUGAGAAUCCAACACCUCAGCAAAGUAUGCACCUCAUGAGCAAGCAGAGAGAUGCUGCUUCUGUAAGCAUCUGCCUUCCAUUGCGGAAAUAAAAUUUAGCAUCUGG